GCCGAUGUGGUGUAAUCUGGUAACACGCGUCGUUUGGGACGACGAGUCACAGUUCGAAUCUGGCAUCGGCGACCA
This 75-nucleotide transfer RNA is filed under the name Bacteroidota bacterium. RNAcentral describes it as "Bacteroidetes bacterium tRNA-Pro". It matches the Rfam family "tRNA". From Rfam's summary of the family: Transfer RNA (tRNA) molecules are approximately 80 nucleotides in length. Their secondary structure includes four short double-helical elements and three loops (D, anti-codon, and T loops). Lineage: Bacteria; Pseudomonadati; Bacteroidota. The record is from RNAcentral.